UUUGUCCCGGCAAGUCCUACACAACCAGCUCCUGUUUAAUCCCCCAGGGUGGGAACGCAGCAAGGGUAUAUGGUCGUAGCGGUGUGAUGUAGUGUACUUGCCAUUUU
Molecule: non-coding RNA, 107 nt
Organism: Cryomorphaceae bacterium BACL21 MAG-121220-bin10
Lineage: Bacteria; Pseudomonadati; Bacteroidota; Flavobacteriia; Flavobacteriales; Cryomorphaceae
Source: Rfam